Molecule: ribosomal RNA, 406 nt
Filed under: uncultured bacterium
Lineage: Bacteria
Description: partial 16S ribosomal RNA
Rfam family: Bacterial small subunit ribosomal RNA
Source: RNAcentral
GUUGAACGCUAGCUACAGGCUUAACACAUGCAAGUCGCGGGACCGGCGCAUGGGUGAGUAACACGUAUCUACCCUGCCCUUUACUAGGGGAUAGCCUUUCGCAAGAAAGAUUAAUACCCGAUAUAAUGGAUGGGUAUGCGUUCCAUUAGGUUGUUGGUGAGGUAACGGCUCACCAAGCCUUCGAUGGAUAGUGGUUCUGCUAGGAAGGUCCCCUACAUUGGAACUGAGACACGGUCCACACCCCUACGGGACGCAGCGGUUGGUAAUAUUCGUCAAUGGUGGCUGGCCUGAACCCGCCAUGUAGCGUGAAGAAUGAAGGCUUAUGGGUCGUAUACGUCUUUUAUAGAAGAAUAUGUAUUAUAUGAAUAAGGAUCGGCUAACUCCGUGCCAGCAGCCGCGGUAAUAC